CUCCUGCCUCAGCCUCCUGAGUAGCUGGGAUUACAGUCACAUACCACCAUGCCCAGCUAAUUUUUAUAUUUUUAGUAGAGACCGGGUUUCCCCAUGUUGGCCAGACUGGUCUCAAACUCCUGACCUCAGGUGGUCCAUCCACCUCGGCCUCCCAAAGUGCUGGGAUUACAGGCAUGAGCCACCACACUCGGCUGGCCAGUGAGUUUUAUUAGAUAAAAAGUAUGUAGAGAAUGUUUGAAAUUAUAUUUAUAACAGAAAAUGAAUGACCAUAUUCAUUUUGUUUUCUUUAUAAAAUAAGCUUCUUCUAAACAGUGAAAUGAUAUUUUUUCCUAGUUUUAUUAAGGUUUAGUUGGCAAAUAAAAAUUGUGUACAUUGACUGUGUACAAUGCAAUGUUUGAUGUAUGUAUACCUUGUGAAAUGAUUAAAUCCAGCUAAUCAACAUAUUCAUCAUCUCACAUAUUUUGUGGUGAGAAAAUUUAAAAUCUGCUAUUUUAGCAAUUUUCAAGUGUACAAUAUGUUGUUAACUAUAGUCACCGUGCUUCACAAUAGAUCAACAGAAUUCCUGUCUAACUGAAACUGUGUACCCUUUGAACAACAUCUCCCCAUGUUCCUCUGUGCCGCCCCCUUCCCACUGCCCCUUGCUCCUGGCAACUGCCACUCUACUCUCUGCUGCUAUGAAUUUGAUUUUUUAAGAUUCCGCAUGUAAGUGAGAUCAUACAAUGUUUGUCUCUCUGUCCCUGGCUUAUUUCAUUUAACAUAAUGUCCUCCAGGUUCAUCCACAUUGUUGAAAAUGACAGAAUUUCUUUCUUUGUAAACCCUGAAUAGUAGUAUUACAUUGUAUAUGUAUAUAUAUAUUAUAUAUAUAUCACAUUUUCUUUAUCCAUUCAUCUGUCAAUGGACACCUAAGUUGAUUCCACAUCUUGACUGUUAUGAAUAAUGCUGCAAUGAAUAUGAGAAUGUAGAUAUCUUUUCAAGAUACUUAUUUCAUUUCUUUUGGCUAUAUACCCAAAAAUGGGAUUGUUGCAUUAUAUGGUAGUUCUAUUUUUUAUUUUUUUAGAAACCUGCAGACUUAUUUUCUGUAAUAGCUAUUAUAAUUUACAUUCCCACCAACAGUGUAUAAGAGUUCCCUUUCUCCACAUCCUCACCAACACUUUUCUUUUGUCUGUUUGAUAAUAACCAUUCUAACAGAUGUGAGGUGAUAUCUUAUUGUGGUUUUAAAUUUUGUUUCCCUGAUGUCUAGUGAUGUUAAACAUUUUUUCAUAUACCUGUUGGCCAUUUGGAUGUCUUCUUUUGAGAAAUGUCUUUUCAGGUUCAUUUUUAAUUGGGUUGUUUAUUUUCUUGCUAUUGAGUUCUUUGAGUUCCCUAUAUGUUUUGGAUAUUGGAUAUUAACCCUUUAUCAGAUGAUUGGUUCACAAAUGUUUUCUCUCAUUCCAUAGGUUGCAUCUUCAUU
RNAcentral lists this long non-coding RNA (1450 nucleotides) under Homo sapiens (human). RNAcentral's name for it is "HSALNT0057600". The record is from RNAcentral. Lineage: Eukaryota; Metazoa; Chordata; Mammalia; Primates; Hominidae.